Petromyzon marinus (sea lamprey) is the source of this 3130-nucleotide long non-coding RNA. RefSeq lists it as uncharacterized. NCBI's taxonomy places the organism in Eukaryota, Metazoa, Chordata, Hyperoartia, Petromyzontiformes, Petromyzontidae. The record is from RefSeq and is a predicted model, not a curated record.
GCCAACCCAAACCCCGGACCCCGCCCCUACCUUCUUACACCACCCACCAUCGAUCUCCCAGUUUGCGCAGCCGACCCAUACACUCUCGCUCUCUGUCCACUCCGAGAAAGCGAGGGGGCGGGUUUACCUCGCCUCGCACACACGACCAGCGGCAGCGCGGAUUGCCUAACCGUUUGGAUGUUAUGCCGUUUAAACGUUCGAUGCUCCAACUGUAUGGAUUUUAAGGCGGACACACUGCCGUUCUCGAAGGGCGCCUCCCCUCCUUCGAUCACGUGAUCCUUGCCGUAAACGUCAUGGCCGCCCUGGGUCGCCUCCAACCGUCACGUACUCCUGCUCUCCUUGGAGCUUCCACCAUCAAAAGCCCAAGUUUCGCACCUCCGGAGAAAUCUCGGAUUCGGGCGGUCACGGACGGAGGUCUGGGGGGAGCUCAGGAGGAAGGAAGCUGUCUGGGCUGCAGGCUCCAGGUCAACGCUCGUGGCUCCCCAGGUGCUGGGCGCGGACUGACUGGCUGGUGGGCGGACCAGCGGGCGAGUACGUGGUCCACCCGUGUGUAGGUGGGACAAGCCAAGGCGCACGUGUCGUUAUCGCAGCCCGGAGGGAGAAACGCUCUUCAUUGAAGUGACAUGGAGGUUUAUGACAAAGUAAAAACAGCAUGUACGCUUGUAAGCGCGUAACAGUGCUUUGAAGAAGUCAAUUAACGUGAAUUUGUACGCUUACGCUACGUACAGUGCGCAUAGCAAACGAUUAUUUUCACAUUCGUAGCUGUAUAACGUAAUCGGUUUAACUGAUUACCUGCAACUACUCGCCGCCAAAUUCCCCGCAACGGCAGAAAAUAAAAAAAAUAAGAUUGUUGAAUCAAACCGUGAAACCAAAUCGCGAGCGGUGCGAAUCGUUACACGUCUAGCACAGUGUAAAGAAUGGUGAAGGGUGUAUCCACUUAUGCAACUGCUUGCUCGAGACAGCCCAUCUAGACGAUAUUUUUUUUUUAGGCCACUCAUCAAUGCCAAGCAGAAAUCUUAGAAGUGGGAGUACCCACACUAUAUCUCACCACACGCAGCCUGCCAAAUGACUAACUGAAGUGUGCCUGUUAUGCGGCAUACCUGUUACGUGGCGUACCUGUUUAUGUGGUGUUCCUGUUUAUGUGGUGUUCCUGUUUAUGUGGUGUUCCUGUUUAUGCCGUUGGGUGGACAGAGGCGGGGAGGGAAUUUAAUAAAAUCGCCCUGUUUCACCUGGCGGACAGGAGUGUACGGCCAUAAUUGAUGCAUAAAAAAGGUAAUUGUCACUUUGCUGUAACGAGCAAUAAGGCAGUGCUAAUUUCCACUGCUGACCCUUAAUCCAGCGGUGGAAAUUCCACAUUACAAUAGUGGAACCAGUCUGUCCAUAGGUUGACCACUUGACUUCGCACAAAGUGAUACUUACGUGCAUUCUGUAGUCAGUGGAGAGCCACAGCCUCAAUACAGAGAUGAAAGAAAGCCAGGGAGAUAAAUCAAGUCAAAUCCGGUUCAAUGUUUGCUCCACUUAAACAAAUAUCACUGGGCCAGAUUCAUCAAAAAGGCCCAAUUACCAAUGGAUUCAAUAUCAUCUCAUUUGUGCGGAGUAAACAAUCCCCUUGGUUGCUUGCAUGUUUGAUUGUUUAUUGUCAUUACUCAUAAGAAACUUCUAAUUACAGCGAUACGACUUUUUUUCCAUGCCCCUUUGAACAGUGCUUCGAAUUAUCCACGCAUAUCCACAGUUAAGUUGUAUUGCGCGGACAUGAAGGUAAAUUAUAGCUGUUAUCCACACCCAUGCUUAGGGCAUGUGUUCAGAAAAGACAAAAGAAGACGCAAUGAGAAGGCAAUGGCGAUUAGAGACCCAUCAACUCACAAAGAGACCAAUAGACUCCUACAGACACCUACAGUCUCACACAGAACCACAGAGACCAAAAAUCUAGAGAUGCCGUUGGUGCACAGCAGGAGUGGAGGGACACCCAGGGUGAGGUGGGAGGAUACAGUGGAACAAGAUACAAGGCCUGUGGACAUGACAAGAGGCGAGGCACAGAGUAGAAGCACACGGAGUAAAGAAAAUCCGAGCGGCCGACUCCAUGCACGAAUGAGACUUCUGGUUUACAAAAGAAGAGGAUCCACGCUCAUCUGUGGAGAAGCCAAGUGGUCUCCCUAAAGUCUCAAUUGCAUCCUAUUACACGUAGCUCUCCACGGAUACGUGACCUGAAAGUGAAGGCAAGUUUAUCCUGUUAUCCGCAUACGUCCGUCCAGAUAACUGCAUUAAGGAACUUGAACAAACGCAUAUAACAGGAUUGGCUGCUAGCAGGCCACAAAUCAUGCAGGAUUAGAGGGGGUUCCAUCGUAUUUAAAAAACAAGUAAUGUUUGACGGCGUCUGCCAACCACCGCCACGUAGAGCCCAGACCAAUUACCGAAAACAACAAAACAGGAAAUAAAUAAGUGGCGCGCAACCAAUUAACUGUUGCAUUAGUUUUUUUUUGCAAACGCUCGUGGGCACCACUGACGAAGGCCAGCGGCUAAGGGUUGCGUGUAAUUCCACGGGCACGGUCUAAUUUACGACGAGCGGAUUCGACUUUGAUCACUUUUGGCCAAUUGAUUUUUCAAAUUAACUGGGGAUUUAGAACAAUUUAUGCGUGUGUUGAGUGUACAUGUGUUGUGUGUACAUGGUAUGCUGCCAAAGGCAACGAAGGUCUGUGAUUUUAACUGAGCGGGUGGGGCACAGUAUGCACAGUAACAUCACCAUAUUGUAUGCUUUACUUUUGAGGAGCAAAUAACCUAUGACUUGAGCCUCCAGCAAAAUCUCCACCUUGGCCGUGUGGAUCUGACAACGAGGGGCCAAUACCUCACCGAGUCUUCAUGUGCACGCUGCGGAGCAGCCAGCACACCGGGUGUGGUGGCGGAUGCCUGCCGCUUGGGGCGAGCGGCGGCCAGGAGAUGGCAGUGCAUCAAGUGGAUCCACAGACACAGCAGUACGGAUCUUUUGGAUGUUGUGACCUUUCUCCGCGUACUUCCCGUUCCAUCGCACGUAAAAAGAGGCAACACGGCCAACCAUUUCAACACUAGACCCUCAUAAUACAGUAUUCAGACCCGGUGAAGCUUUGCUGGUAAAUAAAUCACAUGAUUGUUUGGA